CGUGCGCUUGCGGAUCAUUUCCUGAUGGCGUUACCAAAUAUCAACAAGCAUUUCUGGCACCGUUGCUGGGGAGAAAGACGGUUUGCUGAGAUAACUUUAAGUCUUGCUAUUAUCUUGUAUUAUACUUUUAUUCUUUUAUCUUUUUAUUUUUUCCAUCUUUAUGGAUAACUCAAAAUCCAUACCUAUUAUUGAAUUCUUUGCACCUUCGGAGACCAGCCAUAGACAAUGGGAGUCAAUAAGUCCUGCCCCUAAUUAUGAUCUGUGUCCGGAGUUGAUUGCAAUAGGUCAAAACCAACCCUUUUCUAUAGCCGAGGUCCUAUCUUUUAAUCAAGAAGAUAAUGAACUUUUAGCUACACCUAGGGAAUCUUUUAAUCUUUCUAUAAAUUCUAGUUUAAACCUAGCCCUACAAGACCAUGUUUUAAAUCGAUAUUUUCUCAUUGGUCUUAAUCAUAUAACCUUUGGUAGAGUUUUUCUUUCUUUAUCUAAUAGUAAAGCAAGGUAUUUUAUUCGUG
Molecule: long non-coding RNA, 512 nt
Filed under: Sorghum bicolor (sorghum)
Lineage: Eukaryota; Viridiplantae; Streptophyta; Magnoliopsida; Poales; Poaceae
Description: long non-coding RNA (SBIC_LNC004633)
Source: RNAcentral